This 141-nucleotide ribosomal RNA is filed under the name uncultured eukaryote. RNAcentral's name for it is "partial 18S ribosomal RNA". It matches the Rfam family "Eukaryotic small subunit ribosomal RNA", at positions 1299 to 1458 of the family's 1831-position model. The record is from RNAcentral.
UGGUGGAGUGAUUUGUCUGGUUAAUUCCGUUAACGAACGAGACCUCAGCCUACUAAAUAGCCGGUCGAACCUGACGGUUCGUUCUGCGGCUUCUUAGAGGGACAUUCGGUUUCGAGCCGAAGGAAGUUUGAGGCAAUAACA